GACGAACGCUGGCGGCGUGCUUAACACAUGCAAGUCGAACGGUGAACGCGUGCGUUUGCUCCCUCCGGAACAGUGGCGCACGUGAGGGUCACAUGUGUACCCUCCCCCUCGCACUCUGAUAUCAUCAGUGGAAUCGACGUAUAAUACCGGAUGAGCCCCUGCUGGAUGUCCUCUGCUCGAGGAUAUCACCUCGGUUGGGGAUGGGCGCGGGUCCUAUCAGCUUGUUGGGGAGGUAACGGCUCACCAAGGCGACGACGGGUAGCCGGCCUGAGAGGGUGACCGGCCACACUGGGACUGAGAUACGGCCCAGACUCCUACGGGAGGCAGCAGUGGGGAAUAUUGCACAAUGGGCGGAAGCCUGAUGCAGCAACGCCGCGUGAGGGAUGACGGCCUUCGGGUUGUAAACCUCUUUUGGCAGGGAAGAAGCGAAAGUGACGGUACCUGCAGAAAAAGCACCGGCUAACUACGUG
This 470-nucleotide ribosomal RNA is filed under the name uncultured bacterium. RNAcentral describes it as "partial 16S ribosomal RNA". It matches the Rfam family "Bacterial small subunit ribosomal RNA", at positions 28 to 507 of the family's 1533-position model. The record is from RNAcentral.